This 463-nucleotide ribosomal RNA is filed under the name Corynebacterium sp. 'ARUP UnID 280'. RNAcentral describes it as "bacterial SSU rRNA". It matches the Rfam family "Bacterial small subunit ribosomal RNA", at positions 27 to 506 of the family's 1533-position model. Lineage: Bacteria; Bacillati; Actinomycetota; Actinomycetes; Mycobacteriales; Corynebacteriaceae. The record is from RNAcentral.
GGACGAACGCUGGCGGCGUGCUUAACACAUGCAAGUCGAACGGAAAGGCCUCUUCGGAGGUACUCGAGUGGCGAACGGGUGAGUAACACGUGGGUGAUCUGCCCUGCACUUUGGGAUAAGCCUGGGAAACUGGGUCUAAUACCGGAUAGGACCAUGCUUUAGUGUGUGUGGUGGAAAGUUUUUUCGGUGUAGGAUGAGCCCGCGGCCUAUCAGCUUGUUGGUGGGGUAAUGGCCUACCAAGGCGGCGACGGGUAGCCGGACUGAGAGGUUGGUCGGCCACAUUGGGACUGAGAUACGGCCCAGACUCCUACGGGAGGCAGCAGUGGGGAAUAUUGCACAAUGGGCGCAAGCCUGAUGCAGCGACGCCGCGUGGGGGAUGACGGCCUUCGGGUUGUAAACUCCUUUCGACAGGGACGAAGCUUUUUGUGACGGUACCUGUAUAAGAAGCACCGGCUAACUACGU